Molecule: long non-coding RNA, 1630 nt
Filed under: Citrus x clementina
Lineage: Eukaryota; Viridiplantae; Streptophyta; Magnoliopsida; Sapindales; Rutaceae
Description: Citrus clementina (C. clementina) long non-coding RNA (CCLE_LNC001562)
Source: RNAcentral
UAAUUUAUGUUAAAGUAACCUUAUUGGUCAAAUAUAAUAAAAAAAGUCUACAAAAUGAAUAUGGAUUUAAUUGACAAUUUUUUUUUAAAUUUCUUCUUAAUUUGAAUUUUUUUAAAAAUAAUGUAAACUUGUUGUAAUAAGUUUUUGAAAAUGGGGUAGGUUUAUAAAAUUUGUAGAGUGGAAUAUCACCACCUGAAUGUAAAUGCAUUCGUCAAAGGGGUAAAUUUUGGUUUAAUCCUCUCCUCAAUUAACUAUUUCAAAUCACUCGUUCACUUUGAAAACUUCAAGUUGCCCCUAUUUUUGUUCAAAAGAUAAAAAAAAAUAGGGUUCAAAUGAUGAUUUUUUUUUCUUCUCAACAAAAUAAAAUGGGAAUAAAUUGAGGUUUUUAAAAGAAAGGGGUGAUUUAAAAAUAGUCAAUUUAUGAGGGGAUAAUUCAAAAUUAACGAUUUACAAAGAGUUUGGUCUUAAUUUAAUAAAUAUCCAAUUAACUCUUUUUGUUUUUAUCAUUAUAUUUUUGUUUUAGUAUUUUCUUUGACUUACCAAUCAUGAAUAAAUUCUAGUGAGAUAGAGGAUUAAAAAAUCAAUUUCUUACUAUUAUAUGAACGUGGGAAUUCUUGAAUAAUUUCUUUGUGAGAUGUUAAUUAAUUAAUUUAUUUUAUUUAAAAGGUAGAAGGUGAGCAAAAUUUAUAAAAGAAAAAAAUCAUAACUGAACAAGAGAGAGGAAUUAUAAUUUACAAAUUAACAACUCUUUUAUUCAAAACAAGUACUUGUUGAUACUAGCAUCCAGAAUAUACAUCUCAAUCACAACCCACGGAUUGUUAACCACUGCCAAAUACUCAACUCACAACUUAAAAGUAAAAUGACAAUGCAAGCUUCCAUUAGAGCAGCUUUUGUAAUCAAAACAAUGGAAUCUCAUCAUCCGUCAAUCGUUUCCUAGGGCAUGGUCAUCAGUGAAGAAAAUCAUUUAGCAUUUGAGCACCAUGGUCCUACAAAGCUUCAGUAGUGAGCUACAGGGGCUUAAACAAAAGUCAGUACAUGAAAGAAGACGUGCUGGAAGAAACCAAGCAUUAACCCCAUAGAGGCAUUCCAUGGCAUGGAUUGUAACUUAUAAGUCUGGUAAAUCGCUGAUCCGUUGAUGGUGUUAUGAGUACUCAAAUAAAUGAUUGCUUUUCUCAACGGUGGAAUGUUUUUUAAACAUCAAUGUAUUUUUUGCUCUAAGUAAGGCACACUUAUCUUUACUAAUAAAUGUAAAAUUUGGUAGAGGAAAAAAUAGUUGUAAUUCCAUAACUAUUUUGUAAAUCUUUUGCCAGAAUUUCGUGUAGUCUAGAGAAAAGUUGGAGCAAGUAAAGAGCUCAAGAGCCUUUUUUUUUUCCUUUGCUUUCUGAGAAGAAGAGGAGACAGCGAAUUUGAUUUUAUAUUGAAUAUCAGAGUCUAGUGCCAUAAAUAUGUGAUUUGAAGAAUCCAUUUCUCAGAUUUUCUCCAUUAAAUUUAAACUUAAGAGAAAGAUAUGGCGGCGAUGCUCCGUCAUAAGGUAUGAUAGAACACCAUACAAACCGAUUCAAGUAAAAUAAAAAUGAGUAUUUAAUUUUACAAGGUAAGCUUAAGGAUAAGACUAAUCAACCUCCUGAAC